Molecule: ribosomal RNA, 523 nt
Filed under: uncultured bacterium
Lineage: Bacteria
Description: bacterial SSU rRNA
Rfam family: Bacterial small subunit ribosomal RNA
Source: RNAcentral
CCAGAGAACUUUCCAGAGAUGGAUUGGUGCCUUCGGGAACUCUGAGACAGGUGCUGCAUGGCUGUCGUCAGCUCGUGUUGUGAAAUUGUUGGGUUAAGUCCCGCAACGAGCGCAACCCUUUAUCCUUUGUUGCCAGCGGUUAGGCCGGGAACUCAAAGGAGACUGCCAGUGAUAAACUGGAGGAAGGUGGGGAUGACGUCAAGUCAUCAUGGCCCUUACGAGUAGGGCUACACACGUGCUACAAUGGCGCAUACAAAGAGAAGCGACCUCGCGAGAGCAAGCGGACCUCAUAAAGUGCGUCGUAGUCCGGAUUGGAGUCUGCAACUCGACUCCAUGAAGUCGGAAUCGCUAGUAAUCGUGGAUCAGAAUGCCACGGUGAAUACGUUCCCGGGCCUUGUACACACCGCCCGUCACACCAUGGGAGUGGGUUGCAAAAGAAGUAGGUAGCUUAACCUUCGGGAGGGCGCUUACCACUUUGUGAUUCAUGACUGGGGUGAAGUCGUAACAAGGUAGGCGUAGUGCU